This 77-nucleotide transfer RNA is filed under the name Phycisphaerae bacterium. RNAcentral describes it as "tRNA-Val". It matches the Rfam family "tRNA". Rfam says of the family: Transfer RNA (tRNA) molecules are approximately 80 nucleotides in length. Their secondary structure includes four short double-helical elements and three loops (D, anti-codon, and T loops). The record is from RNAcentral. Lineage: Bacteria; Pseudomonadati; Planctomycetota; Phycisphaerae.
GGGCCGUUAGCUCAGUUGGCUAGAGCACCUGCUCGACACGCAGGGGGUCACUGGUUCAAGUCCAGUACGGCCCACCA